Molecule: ribosomal RNA, 468 nt
Filed under: uncultured bacterium
Lineage: Bacteria
Description: partial 16S ribosomal RNA
Rfam family: Bacterial small subunit ribosomal RNA
Source: RNAcentral
GACGAACGCUGGCGGCGGGCUUAACACAUGCAAGUCGAACGGAAAGGCCCUGCUUGUGUGGGGUUCUCGAGGGGCGAACGGGGGAGUAACACGUGAGUAACCUGCUCUUGACUUUGGGAUAACUUCAGGAAACUGGGGCUAAUACCGGAUAGGAGCUCCUGCUGCAUGGUGGGGGUUGGAAAGUUUCGGCGGGUGGGGAUGGACGCGCGGCUUAUCAGCUUGUUGGUGGGGUAGGGGCUUACCAAGGCAUGGACGGGUCGCCGGCCUGAGAGGGUGACCGGCCUCAAUGGGCCUGCGAUACGGCGCAGAGUGCUACGUGAGGCAGCAGUCGGGAGUAUUGCACAGUGGGCGCGAGCCUGAUGCAGCGACGCCGCGUGCGGGAUGACGGUCUUCGGGUUGUAAACCGCUUUCGCCUGUGACCACGCGUGAGUGACGGUAAUGGGUAAAGAAGCACCGGCUAACUACGUG